This 1580-nucleotide long non-coding RNA is filed under the name Malus domestica (apple). RNAcentral describes it as "long non-coding RNA (MDOM_LNC005867)". The record is from RNAcentral. Lineage: Eukaryota; Viridiplantae; Streptophyta; Magnoliopsida; Rosales; Rosaceae.
AAGAUGAUAAUGGACCUUAGAAAGUAGAAAUCCAAUCUCAUAUAUAUUAAAACAAUUAACAAAUUAUUAGUGAAUGAUCACAAAAAAUGUAUAGAAAAGUAAUUCAAUUCCUUAACUUCAAAAGGGGAAAGAUAAAGAAAAAACAGGUUCUAAGUUCUGAGUUCUUAUCAUACUGAAAAUUAUGAUAUUGUUUUUAACAUGAACUUGGGUUGAUUUCCAUCACCCGAAAAUUCCAAAAACAUAUAAAUAGAAAACUGAGAAGUAGCACAUACCAGUUUUGUACAUUACAUUUCAGCACACAUUCAUGCGAAGGACUUAGAACUGAAGAAAGACACAUGAAACCAAAAUAAACACCUGUAGUCCUGAUGGAAAUGGAACAUGAGGAUAACCUACACCUGAGAAAUGAACUGAGAAGUUGAAUUAUGCUGAAAAAAAAAUAGAUGCUUUAAGAAGAUUCAUUAUCUUUGCUGAAACCACAAAAGAUGAAAUUAGAGGAUCUUGCAUUUGGAAUUCACCUGAUUGAGCACUAAGCUCCAACAAUUGGCUCUGAGUAAGUGAAAGGAUGAUAAAUUAAGAUACGCUAUAGAGGUCAGGUGCAUAAUUACCAUGAUAUCAGUUGAAUCUAAGAAGAAACACAUAAACAUUAGUUCCGUCCAAUUUGCACAAAAAUUGAAAAACCAAAUAAGCAAAUACAAUUUUUAUUUGAGAUAUGAAAACAUAUUACAGCAAAGACCAAAAAGAAGGCACAACCAAGUUUAAUAACCUAAAAUCCAUCAACCCUAAACCUUAAUUCCGUCAAAAUACCCAUAAUACCUGCAAAGAAACUAUUUGCAUGAUUCACAACCAAAAAGAGUGUAAAUACACCAAUUUUUGCUCUUAAAUUCAAAAGAGGAGAAAAUUAGGAUUAGAGUUUCACGAUUUUUACCCAAAUUUGGCUACGUACAAACCUACCCAUAGCCAUUCUAGUUUGUACAGCCUCAAGUCAUCAUCACCCCAAAGAAUGUUAAACAUGUAAAAUGGAAAUGAAUCAAUUCCCUAAAAUUUUGAAACUGGGGAUAUUCCGAAUAUGGACAAAAACCUAGAAUAUCUUACCUUCUUGUGUAUAGCACGUCCUCCAGAAUCCACAGCUGAAAACAGAAUGAAGUUCAGAGUAUGAUGAAGAAGAAGAAGAAAUGGAAUUGUCCAUAUGAAAAAAAAUGAGAGAACUAAGAGGGUGAAAGCAAACAUACCCAAUUGCAAUCCAAUGAUUUAGCCUGGAAAAACAUUUCAUAAGGACAAAAAAAAGUGAAAUUAAAAACCCUAUUGAAUCAAAUGAAGAAUUUUUUAGAGUGCAAAUAGUUAGUAUUAUCAGCAAGAAGAAACUUGAUACCCUAAAAUGCAAAAGUAUGUGCCUAUAAUGCAAUCCGACAAAACAUGGACAGCAGCUAUCAGAGAAUUGAAAAUUUACUAAUAAAAUGAACCAAAGACCAAUUUUGAAUAAUCAGGAAUGAUGACGUUUUAACAUUGACAUAGUGUGUUUGUAUGUGAGAGAGAGAUGGAAAUAGAGUUAGAGUUAGAUUUAGACAAAUGCAGAAAUCAAC